UGGCCCAAUGGUCAAGUGGUCAAGACGUCGCGUUCUCAGCGCGGAAUCCAGGGUUCGACUCCCUGUUGGGCUAUC
This 75-nucleotide transfer RNA is filed under the name Weissella viridescens. RNAcentral describes it as "tRNA-Glu(ctc)". It matches the Rfam family "tRNA". Rfam says of the family: Transfer RNA (tRNA) molecules are approximately 80 nucleotides in length. Their secondary structure includes four short double-helical elements and three loops (D, anti-codon, and T loops). Further hydrogen bonds mediate the characteristic L-shaped molecular structure. tRNAs have two regions of fundamental functional importance: the anti-codon, which is responsible for specific mRNA codon recognition, and the 3' end, to which the tRNAs corresponding amino acid is attached (by aminoacyl-tRNA synthetases). tRNAs cope with the degeneracy of the genetic code in two manners: having more than one tRNA (with a specific anti-codon) for a particular amino acid; and 'wobble' base-pairing, i.e. permitting non-standard base-pairing at the 3rd anti-codon position. Lineage: Bacteria; Bacillati; Bacillota; Bacilli; Lactobacillales; Lactobacillaceae. The record is from RNAcentral.